UACGAAGGGGGCUAGCGUUGUUCGGAAUGACUGGGCGUAAAGGGCGCGUAGGCGGCGCAUUUAGUCAGGCGUGAAAGCCCUGGGCUCAACCUAGGAAUUGCGUUUGAUACUGGUGCGCUGGAGUGCGGGAGAGGAUGGUGGAAUUCCCAGUGUAGAGGUGAAAUUCGUAGAUAUUGGGAAGAACACCGGUGGCGAAGGCGGCCAUCUGGACCGUUACUGACGCUGAGGCGCGAAAGCGUGGGGAGCAAAC
RNAcentral lists this ribosomal RNA (250 nucleotides) under uncultured bacterium. Its description in RNAcentral is "partial 16S ribosomal RNA". It matches the Rfam family "Bacterial small subunit ribosomal RNA", at positions 524 to 773 of the family's 1533-position model. The record is from RNAcentral.